RNAcentral lists this ribosomal RNA (478 nucleotides) under uncultured bacterium. RNAcentral describes it as "partial 16S ribosomal RNA". It matches the Rfam family "Bacterial small subunit ribosomal RNA", at positions 28 to 523 of the family's 1533-position model. The record is from RNAcentral.
GACGAACGCUGGCGGCGUGCUUAACACAUGCAAGUCGAACGGUAAGGCCCUUCGGGGUACACGAGUGGCGAACGGGUGAGUAACACGUGGGUGAUCUGCCCUGCACUUCGGGAUAAGCCUGGGAAACUGGGUCUAAUACCGGAUAGGACCACUGCCUGCAUGGGUGGUGGUGGAAAGCUUUUGCGGUGUGGGAUGGGCCCGCGGCCUAUCAGCUUGUUGGUGGGGUGAUGGCCUACCAAGGCGACGACGGGUAGCCGGCCUGAGAGGGUGACCGGCCACACGAGGACUGAGAUACGGCCCAGACUCCUACGGGAGGCAGCAGUGGGGAAUAUUGCACAAUGGGCGCAAGCCUGAUGCAGCGACGCCGCGUGAGGGAUGACGGCCUUCGGGUUGUAAACCUCUUUCAGCAUCGACGAAGCGCAAGUGACGGUAGGUGCAGAAGAAGGACCGGCCAACUACGUGCCAGCAGCCGCCGUAA